GACGAACGCUGGCGGCGUGCUUAACACAUGCAAGUCGAACGGAAAGGCCCUGCUUUUGUGGGGUGCUCGAGUGGCGAACGGGUGAGUAACACGUGAGUAACCUGCCCUUGACUUUGGGAUAACUUCAGGAAACAGGGGCUAAUACCGGAUAGGAGCUCCUGCUGCAUGGUGGGGGUUGGAAAGUUUCGGCGGUUGGGGAUGGACUCGCGGCUUAUCAGCUUGUUGGUGGGGUAGUGGCUUACCAAGGCUUUGACGGGUAGCCGGCCUGAGAGGGUGACCGGCCACAUUGGGACUGAGAUACGGCCCAGACUCCUACGGGAGGCAGCAGUGGGGAAUAUUGCACAGUGGGCGGAAGCCUGAUGCAGCAACGCCGCGUGCGGGAUGACGGCCUUCGGGUUGUAAACCGCUUUCGCCUGUGACGAAGCGUGAGUGACGGUAAUGGGUAAAGAAGCACCGGCUAACUACGUG
Molecule: ribosomal RNA, 468 nt
Filed under: uncultured bacterium
Lineage: Bacteria
Description: partial 16S ribosomal RNA
Rfam family: Bacterial small subunit ribosomal RNA
Source: RNAcentral